AAAUCUCACAUCGACGACCCGGGACCAUCUCCCUCCAAAAGCUGCUUUUAGAAUCUCACACCUGUGUUUCUUUGUAUAUCUAUGAGCAUGCCAGGAUUCUGAUCUCGCAGCUGAGCUCUGGAAAUGACGCCCAGGGUUCUGCUUUAGCUCAAUGAUUUGGUGAGUGGCACCUCCUCUAUUACCGUGGCAACAACAACCAAUCCCCGCCACCUCCCCGCUCUGGUGUCCUGCGGUCACAGUGGUCCGGUCGGCGGUGGUCCUCGCAGAGGGAGCCAAUGAGGGGAGUACCUCCUCUAGACUGAUGAUCGCUGCAGAUGGGCACCAAUUUUUUACCAGGAUCUUGUCUUGAUGAUGGGAGAAUCCAACCACUGUGCAAAGUCUGGACUUGAGACGACCCUCAGAUUACAGGACUGCCCUCUCUGGCUUGUACAGGCAUGAUGGGUUCAUCACUUCAUCUGCAACACUUUUUACCCCGAUGUGCUCCUCACACCGGAAGAAGAAAGAUUUCCACAUAAGCCAAAUCAGGGAGGUGCAGGCACGCUUUGCAAAUCCUCUGCGGACAGAGGAAACAUGGAAGGGGCACGUGAUCGCACAUGGCGUUGGCACACUCCGAACCCCGCAGGCUAAACAGGCGGGGUUUAAGAAAAAGCCAUACAGGGUGUAGGAACAUUCGCAGGAUUAAAGGGGACAAGGACCCACCUUCACCUUCACGCCCCCGUUUCUUAAUCUGUGCUUUUGUGACCAGCACACACAAAGAUUGUGAAGAUGUAUGCAAGUGAUCCAAGAGUUAAAGCCGGAGGUUUUGGAUGAGUGUGUUCAGUGACAUUGGAGGGACGACGACCAUAAACUACUCCACAUUUUACACCGUCGGCACACACGCCUGACCCUGCUGUCUGGAAACCAGGUCACGCCACAAGUCCGGCCUUCAGUUUGUGCACCAUGUAGCAUAAUAAAGAUGUUUUAUGAAAAGAAAAAAAAAGAAGCUUUAUUAUUAGUAUA
Molecule: long non-coding RNA, 999 nt
Organism: Xiphophorus hellerii (green swordtail)
Lineage: Eukaryota; Metazoa; Chordata; Actinopteri; Cyprinodontiformes; Poeciliidae
Exons: 5
Source: RefSeq, a predicted model, not a curated record